This 503-nucleotide ribosomal RNA is filed under the name uncultured bacterium. RNAcentral describes it as "partial 16S ribosomal RNA". It matches the Rfam family "Bacterial small subunit ribosomal RNA", at positions 28 to 523 of the family's 1533-position model. The record is from RNAcentral.
GAUGAGCGCUAGCGAUAGGCCUAACACAUGCGAGUCGAGGGGCAGCAUAGAGUAGCAAUACUUUGAUGGCGACCGGCGCACGGGUGAGUAACACGUAUGCAACCUACCUACAUCAGGGGAAUAACCCGGAGAAAUUCGGACUAAUACCGCAUAAUACAGGGAUGCCGCAUGGCAAUAUUUGUUAAAGAUUUAUCGGAUGUAGAUGGGCAUGCGUUCCAUUAGCUUGUUGGUGAGGUAACGGCUCACCAAGGCAACGAUGGAUAGGGGAACUGAGAGGUUUGUACCCCCGACUGGAGCUGAGACACGGACCAGACUCCUACGGGAGGCAGCAGUGAGGAAUAUUGGUCAAUGGACGAGAGUCUGAACCAGCCAAAUCGCGUGAAGGAAGACUGCCCUACGGGUUGUAAACUUCUUUUGUACAGGAAUAAAAGACAUUACGUGUAAUGUAUUGCAUGUACUGUACGAAUAAGCAUCGGCUAACUCCGUGCCAGCCGCCGCCGUAA